Long non-coding RNA from Cydia pomonella (codling moth), 1436 nucleotides. RefSeq lists it as uncharacterized. The record is from RefSeq and is a predicted model, not a curated record. NCBI's taxonomy places the organism in Eukaryota, Metazoa, Arthropoda, Insecta, Lepidoptera, Tortricidae. The transcript has 5 exons.
GAGACAAGACUGAUGGCUGCCUACAUAUACCCAUACCUAGUGUUUGGUGAUGUUUAAGCUGAGCGGAGCAAAUUUCCGUUUGCUGUUUUCAUGGACUUUUCUGAGUCUCGAUAAUCUCCAACAAACAGAAUGGUUUCCUGACACCUAGCCGUGAGGUCCCCUAGCAGUCAGUUAGACUUAAGCCAAGCGAAGGAAAUCUCUAUGGUUAUUUUCAUGAUUCCUGUUUCUCCAUGUCUAAGCCACAAUUUUCAAUGUUCCGGAGAACUGACACUGCCCCGCAGAGUCAUUACAUCUACCCUCAAAAUACACACUAUGGAAUGCUUCUAUUUCUGAAAGAUUACGAAGGACCACACUACUCCAGACUCCUGUUCAAUAAUUUUAUUUCAUCACUUUUGCUGUAACAAUGGCUGCUGUCUACUGCCACUUCAAAGUUCCUGUUCCACGGCUCUAUUUCUAGAAACCUGCACCCACAUCAGCAGUGGUCUACAUUGAAUACUAGUUAUAGGGAAAAUUGACACUCAAGAUCUUCUUUUAUGUUAGGUAUCAAGGCGCAAGAAGAUGGAAUUAUAAUUGAUUAUUUUGAGAUGACACGUCUCAAAUAUGAAAUGAACCCCCUAACAACGACGAGAAGAAAACGAGUAAAGAAGACUGAUAAACUUUAAAUAGAAAAUAACUAAUCCUUAUAUUUUUAUUAAGUAGACAAUAACUCUAAGGAUUUUUUUUGUACAUAAUAACAGUUUGAAAAAUAAACGUUUUUAUUUUUCAAACUAACUAAACAAAUAAACGAUUUUAUGACUUUUAUUUAAAACACAAUAAAAACAGAGUCCAAAAUUCAGUGUACCCACUCCGCUCUCACGGCAACAAAAUGUAGCCUGAAGGCUACUUUUACUUAGAUAUAUCUUGAAAACCCGUAGUAACCCAGGUAAAAUAGAUCCUGCGUCACGGCUCACCAAAAUGUAACUUCCCCCACCUACUCCCCAAUCUACCCCACCUUUAAAAUUGAUACCACCCUUAAAUUCUACCCUCAUAAUUUUACCCCAACAAUAAUUUGGCCAAGUGAUCGUCUAGUUAAAGGUUAGGACCCCUCGAAGUGAACCGCGGAACCCUAGAUUCUUUAAUGAGUAACAACUAAAUCUUGGACUUUGAUUUUACCUAAUUGUUUAUUACCUAGAUGUUAAAGAUCUGAUAUUUACUGUACUAUAAUAAUAUACCUAUUAUGUUGAUGAGAAAUUAUUUAAAGGAAAUUAUGUUAAGAUUCCACCUCCUGCGAAACACCGUAAAACCAAGAUACUCAGAACCAUUUCUAUAUUAAACAUGACACCUUAUGAGUAAAAAGGAAAUAUAGGUAUAAUAAACUAAAAGUUUAUAGCAAUGUCCCGGUUAAGGGUAUAGGCUCCGCCCAAAUGCGCGAGUCGUUGGCGUCGGGUGUAGCCUUA